CCUUUAUGUGUAAGGUUAGCUUUUGUAUUUGAGUUCUUUCCAGUUUUUGAAUGGAUGCUUGUAUUGCGAUGUAUUUCCCCCUUAGGACUGCUUUUGCUGCAUCCCAAAGAUUUUGAACGGUUGUAUCUUCAUUCUCAUUAGUUUCCAUGAAUCUUUUUAAUUCUUCCUUAAUUUCCUGGUUGACCCUUUUAUCUUUUAGCAGGAUGGUCCUUAACCUCCACGUGUUUGAGGUCCUUCCAAACUUCUUGUUGUGAUUUAGUUCUAAUUUCAAGGCAUUAUGGUCCGAGAAUAUGCAGGGGACAAUCCCAAUCUUUUGGUAUCGGUUCAGACCCGAUUUGUGACCCAAUAUGUGGUCUAUUCUGGAGAAAGUUCCAUGUGCGCUUGAGAAGAAUGUGUAUUCAGUUGAGUUUGGAUGUAAAGUUCUGUAGAUAUCUGUGAAAUCCAUCUGGUCCAGUGUAUCAUUUAAAGCUCUCGUUUCUUUGGAGAUGUUUUGCUUAGAAGACCUAUCGAGUAUAGAAAGAGCUAGAUUGAAGUCACCAAGUAUAAGUGUAUUAUUAUCUAAGUAUUUCUUCACUUUGGUUAAUAAUUGAUUUAUAUAUUUGGCAGCUCCCACAUUCGGAGCAUAUAUAUUGAGGAUUGUUAAGUCCUCUUGUUGAAUAGAUCCUUUAAGUAUGAUAUAGUGUCCCUCUUCAUCUCUCACUACAGUCUUUGGGGUAAAUUUUAGUUUAUCUGAUAUAAGGAUGGCUACCCCUGCUUUCUUUUGAGGACCAUUCGAAUGGUAAAUGGUUCUCCAACCUUUUAUUUUCAGGCUGUAGGUGUCCUUCUGUCUAAAAUGAGUCUCUUGUAGACAGCAAAUAGAUGGGUCCUGCUUUUUUAUCCAGUCUGAAACCCUGCGCCUUUUGAUGGGGUCAUUAAGCCCGUUUACAUUCAGAGUUACUAUUGAGAGAUAUGAGUUUAGUGUCAUCAUGAUAUCUAUUCAGUCUUUGUUUUUGUGGACUGUUCCACUGAACUUCUUCUUAAAGGGGAAUUUUAAGAGUCCCCCUUAAAAUUUCUUGCAGAGCUGGUUUGGAGGUCACAUAUUCUUUUAGUUGCUGCCUGUCUUGGAAGCUCUUUAUCUCUCCUUCCAUUUUGAAUGAGAGCCUUGCUGGAUAAAGUAUUCUUGGUUGCAUGUUCUUCUCCUUUAGGACCCUGAAUAUAUCCUGCCAGCCCUUUCUGGCCUGCCAGGUCUCUGUGGAGAGGUCUGCUGUUACCCUAAUACUCCUCCCCAUAAAAGUCAGGGAUUUCUUGUCUCUUGCUGCUUUAAGGAUCUUCUCCUUAUCUUUGGAAUUUGCAAGCUUCACAAUUAAAUGUCGAGGUGUUGAACGGUUUUUAUUGAUUUUAGGGGGGAUCUCUCUAUUUCCUGGAUCUGAAUGCCUGUUUCCCUUCCCAGAUUAGGAAAGUUUUCAGCUAGAAUUUGUUCAAAUACAUAUUCUGGCCCUCUGUCCCUUUCGGCGCCCUCGGGAACCCCAAUUAAACGUAGGUUUUUCUUCCUCAGGCUGUCGUUUAUUUCCCUUAAUCUAUCUUCAUGGUCUUUUAAUUGUUUGUCUCUUUUUUCCUCAGUUUCCCUCUUUGCUAUCAACUUGUCUUCUAUGUCACUCACUCGUUCUUCCACCUCGUUAACCCUCGUCGUUAGGACUUCUAGUUUGGAUUGCAUCUCAUUCAAUUGAUUUUUAAUUUCUGCCUGAUUAGCUCUAAAUUCUGCAGUCAUGAAGUCUCUUGAGUCCUUUAUACUUUUUUUCUAGAGCCACCAGUAGCUGUAUAAUAGUGCUUCUGAAUUGGCUUUCUGACAUUGAAUUGUAAUCCAGAUUUUGUAACUCUGUGGGAGAGAGGACUGUUUCUGAUUCUUUCUUUUGAGGUGAGGUUUUCCUUCUAGUCAUUUCGCUCAGUGCAGAGUGGCCAAAAGCAAGUUGUAUUGGGAAAAAAGAAAAAAGAGAGGAGAGAAAGAAGGAAAGAAAAGAGAAAGAGAAAAAAAGGGAAGAAAAAGAAAAAAAAACGAAAAAAAAA
RNAcentral lists this long non-coding RNA (2043 nucleotides) under Canis lupus familiaris (dog). RNAcentral's name for it is "lncRNA (ENSCAFG00000055770.1)". Lineage: Eukaryota; Metazoa; Chordata; Mammalia; Carnivora; Canidae. The record is from RNAcentral.